This 484-nucleotide ribosomal RNA is filed under the name uncultured bacterium. RNAcentral describes it as "partial 16S ribosomal RNA". It matches the Rfam family "Bacterial small subunit ribosomal RNA", at positions 30 to 507 of the family's 1533-position model. The record is from RNAcentral.
AUUGAACGCUGGCGGCAGGCCUAACACAUGCAAGUCGAGCGGAUGAAGGGAGCUUGCUCCUGGCUUCAGCGGCGGACGGGCGAGUAAUGCCUAGGAAUCUGCCUGGUCGUGGGGGAUAACGUCCGGAAACGGGCGCUAAUACCGCAUACGUCCUGAGGGUGAAAGUGGGGGAUCUUCGGACCUCACGCUAUCAGAUGAGCCUAGGUCGGAUUAGCUAGUUGGUGGGGUAAAGGCCUACCAAGGCGACGAUCCGUAACUGGUCUGAGAGGAUGAUCAGUCACACUGGAACUGAGACACGGUCCAGACUCCUACGGGAGGCAGCAGUGGGGAAUAUUGGGCAAUGGGCGAAAGCCUGAUCCAGCCAUGCCGCGUGUGUGAAGAAGGUCUUCGGAUUGUAAAGCACUUUAAGUUGGGAGGAAGGGCAGUAAGUUAAUACCUUGCUGUUUUGACGUUACCAACAGAAUAAGCACCGGCUAACUUCGUG